CGUGUGUGAAGAAGGUCUUCGGAUUGUUAAAGCACUUUUGGCAGGGACGAGUGAUGACGGUACCUCGCAGAAUAAGCCCCCGGCUAACUUCGUGC
This 95-nucleotide ribosomal RNA is filed under the name uncultured bacterium. RNAcentral's name for it is "partial 16S ribosomal RNA". The record is from RNAcentral.